CAAGACCUUGCGCUUUUGGAGCGGCCGAUGUCUGAUUAGCUAGUUGGUGAGGUAAAGGCUUACCGAGGCUUCGAUCAGUAGCUGGUCUGAGAGGACGACCAGCCACACUGGGACUGAGACACGGCCCAGACUCCUACGGGAGGCAGCAGUGGGGAAUUUUGGACAAUGGGGGAAACCCUGAUCCAGCCAUGCCGCGUGAGUGAAGAAGGCCUUCGGGUUGUAAAGCUCUCUCAGCCGGAACGAAAAGGUUACGGUUAAUACCCGUGACUAAUGACGGUACCGGAAGAAGAAGCACCGGCUAACUACGUGCCAGCAGCCGCGGUAAUACGUAGGGUGCGAGCGUUAAUCGGAAUUACUGGGCGUAAAGCGUGCGCAGGCGGUUUUGUAAGUCAGAUGUGAAAUCCCCGGGGCUCAACCUGGGAACUG
This 426-nucleotide ribosomal RNA is filed under the name uncultured Nitrosospira sp. RNAcentral's name for it is "bacterial SSU rRNA". It matches the Rfam family "Bacterial small subunit ribosomal RNA", at positions 207 to 623 of the family's 1533-position model. Lineage: Bacteria; Pseudomonadati; Pseudomonadota; Betaproteobacteria; Nitrosomonadales; Nitrosomonadaceae. The record is from RNAcentral.